UUAAUAUAAAGGCAAAGCCAUCGGAAGAUGGUGACGCAAAGCUAAAGGGUCUUAAGCACUUAUUUGAGUGCCAGAUAGCCAGUUGCUGGU
Molecule: non-coding RNA, 90 nt
Filed under: Butyrivibrio sp. INlla14
Lineage: Bacteria; Bacillati; Bacillota; Clostridia; Lachnospirales; Lachnospiraceae
Description: c-di-GMP-I riboswitch aptamer
Rfam family: c-di-GMP-I riboswitch aptamer
About the family: GEMM was predicted in a large-scale screen for bacterial structured RNA regulatory elements.
Source: Rfam by way of RNAcentral